AGUCGAACGGUCAGUAGCAAUACUGAUAGUGGCGCACGGGUGCGUAACACGUAACUAACCUACCCACAAUUGGGGGAUAGCCCGCCGAAAGGCGGAUUAAUACCGCAUAAGACUAUAGAGUGGCAUCACUUCGUAGUUAAAGAUUUAUUGAUUGUGGAUGGGGUUGCGGGUCAUUAGCUAGUUGGUAAGGUAACGGCUUACCAAGGCGACGAUGACUAGGGGAGCUGAGAGGCUGGUCCCCCACACGGGCACUGAGAUACGGGCCCGACUCCUACGGGAGGCAGCAGUAGGGAAUAUUGGGCAAUGGACGAGAGUCUGACCCAGCCAUGCCGCGUGCAGGAAGAAGGCUUUCUGAGUCGUAAACUGCUUUUGACAGGGAAGAAUAAGCGCUACGUGUAGCGUGAUGACGGUACCUGCAGAAUAAGCACCGGCUAACUCCGUGCCAGCAGCCGCGGUAAUACGGAGGGUGCGAGCGUUGUCCGGAUUUAUUGGGUUUAAAGGGUGCGUAGGCGGCCCGUUAAGUCCGGGGUGAAAGCCCGUUGCUCAACAACGGAACUGCCCUGGAUACUGACGGGCUUGAGUACAGACGAGGUUGGCGGAAUGGACCGAGUAGCGGUGAAAUGCAUAGAUACGGUCCAGAACCCCGAUUGCGAAGGCAGCUGACUAGGCUGUUACUGACGCUGAGGCACGACAGCGUGGGGAGCGAACAGGAUUAGAUACCCUGGUAGUCCACGCCGUAAACGAUGGAUACUCGCUGCGAGCUAAAGAUUGUUCGUGGCUUAGGGAAACCGAUAAGUAUCCCACCUGGGGAGUACGCCGGCAACGGUGAAACUCAAAGGAAUUGAC
Molecule: ribosomal RNA, 846 nt
Filed under: uncultured bacterium
Lineage: Bacteria
Description: bacterial SSU rRNA
Rfam family: Bacterial small subunit ribosomal RNA
Source: RNAcentral